GGGACUCAUCCGAGGCCCCGUAAUCGGAAUGAGUACACUUUAAAUCCUUUAACGAGUAUCCAUUGGAGGGCAAGUCUGGUGCCAGCCGCCGCGGUAAUUCCAGCUCCAAUAGCGUAUAUUAAAGUUGUUGCGGUUAAAAAGCUCGUAGUUGGACUUGUGUCCUGCGCUGUCGGUUCACCGCCCGUCGGUGUCUAACUGGCAUGGUUCGCGGGACGUCCUGCCGGUGGUGGUUAGUCGAAAGGUGGCACGUGCUCAGUUCGCUGGGUUGCGUGUUGCCUCCAGGCGAACCCCGAUUCAAUCCUACUGCGGUGCUCUUUACUGAGUGUCUCUGUGGGCCGGCACGUUUACUUUGAACAAAUUAGAGUGCUUAAAGCAGGCCGGUCGCGCCUGAAUGCUGUGUGCAUGGAAUAAUGGAAUAGGACCUCGGUUCUAUUUUGUUGGUUUUCGGAACCCGAGGUAAUGAUUAAUAGGGACAGUCGGGGGCAUUCGUAUUGCGACGUUAGAGGUGAAAUUCUUGGAUCGUCGCAAGACGAACCGAAGCGAAAGCAUUUGCCAAGUAUGUUUUCAUUAAUCAAGAACGAAAGUUAGAGGUUCGAAGGCGAUCAGAUACCGCCCUAGUUCUAACCAUAAACGAUGCCAGCUAGCGAUCCGCCGAAGUUCCUCCGAUGACUCGGCGGGCAGCUCUCGGGAAACCAAAGCUUUUGGGUUCCGGGGGGAGUAUGGUUGCAAAGCUGAAACUUAAAGGAAUUGACGGAAGGGCACCACCAGGAGUGGAGCCUGCGGCUUAAUUUGACUCAACACGGGAAACCUCACCA
RNAcentral lists this ribosomal RNA (815 nucleotides) under Brachybaenus sp. 1 AGV-2017. Its description in RNAcentral is "SSU rRNA". It matches the Rfam family "Eukaryotic small subunit ribosomal RNA", at positions 487 to 1220 of the family's 1831-position model. Lineage: Eukaryota; Metazoa; Arthropoda; Insecta; Orthoptera; Gryllacrididae. The record is from RNAcentral.